Xyrichtys novacula (pearly razorfish) is the source of this 4498-nucleotide non-coding RNA. Lineage: Eukaryota; Metazoa; Chordata; Actinopteri; Labriformes; Labridae. The record is from the annotation of a GenBank genome assembly.
GGGCAGAUUUAAGUUUAUGAUAACUACAAAAAUAUUGUUCAGUCUAACAUCAUAUUAGCAUGCUGUAUAGUUACCUCUGAGCACACAAAGCAUAAAUGUGCAUGAAUAUUUCUAAAUAACUUCAAAGGUUUGGUAUAAAAAGUAAGUUUUAUAAAAUAGUGAAUUAUAUUGUAUUAGAUCAUAUCAUACUUUUUAAAGUCAUUAGACCCUUACAUUCACUGUUUCAUUUCGAGUAUGUUCAAAAUUUCUAACGAGGAUAUCUUAGUGUUCCAUAAUUACUGUCAACAUUAGUCUUAAUUCUAUAUUUGCCUCAAACACAUAUGGGAAAAUUUAAUAAAUAAUAAUAAUAAUAAUAAUAAUAAUAAUAAUAAUAAUAAUAAUAAUCAUAAUCAUAAUAAUAAUAAUAAUAAUAAUAAUUGUUAUUAUUAUUAUUAUUAUUAUUAUUAUUACUCUGGAAGAUCAUAUAAGUCAUUUGGAGAAGGGGGAGAGUCAUGGAACAGUGGCAGUUUGCAGCAGGGGUCUGGAUCCCAAAGGAGGAAAACUCAACCACCAUGGAACAGUUCAGGAUCAUCUCACUUCUCAGUGUUGAGGGCAAGGUGUUUUUCAGCAUUGUUUUUAGCAUUUAAUUUUUAUAACACACACUGAAAUAAGACAGCAUAUCGUAUUAUAUGAUGACUUAUAUCAUGGAUUACACUUUUUCUGACAGAGGAGCUGAGGCAACCCCUCCAUCACUGACCCCCACUAAAGCACAGGCAGGCUGCUCAACCCCAAAGGCUCCCCAGAGUGUACAAAGAAGCAGCAGACACCCUGCUUCUCGUCCACCCUUGCUGUCAAGCCCUCCAUUAAGGUAAGCUGAUGUGUGUCCUGUAAUAUGAAUAAAGGAGCUGCAUUCACAAUGUUCUGAUUGUGUCACAGUGAGGAGGAUGCAUACAGGGAGGAUGCAGACGACGCCCCUGCAAGACAGAAGGCAGCUGCCCUGCAGCAAAGAAGGUCAGGUCCUUCAUCUAAUGGAGGGAGUGAGAGGUGGUGCUCUCAAGAGGAAAAGGAUGAAGAGCCUGCCAAGAUGAAGUUUGAGCCAAAACGGCCACCAGGUCCUCAAAUUGACUCUCAGAGAUCCUGGACCCCGUUAAAAACUAUUGACUUUGAAUGCAUGGUUGGUGUUUUCAGAGUUAAUUGGAUCAAGUCAUUUUUAGCUAACCCUGACUCCAUAUAGUUUGCUAUCCCCAAAGGUAUUUUUGAUCAAGUGGGAGGACUGGAUUUUCUUUUGAGGUGUGAUUUUGAAAUAUCCAAAUUGCCUGUAAAAUUGUCUGAAUACCACAAACAGAUUCUCCAUUAUUGGAAGAUGGUGUUUACCCAUAACUUUUCUCCACAUGGCUCCACCCUAUGGAAUAACAGAGCUAUUACAUCUAACAGAAAAACUUUAUUCAUUCAAAGUUGGUAUGAAAAAGAUAUCAUUUUCAUCACAGACAUACUCGAUGGUCAUGGUCAGUUCCUUAGCUUCACUGAGUUCAAAACCAAAUAAAACAUUCAAAAUUCAAAUAGAGUUCUAAUAUUGUCAUUUUCUUUUUAUAUAAAUUCCAAAGGCAGGCCUUGCUGUAAGUUUCGUGUUUUAUUUCUUCUCUUUUCUACAUUAUGUUGUUCGCAUGUACUUGUCUCCCAUUGAGAGUUUGUAAAUUUUUUGAAUAUGUUAAAAAAAAAAAAGAUUAGGCUAGCUGCCGCCAUGAUAUUUGGGAUUAGCUGUUUGCACUUGCCUUCCUUUGGCUUGUUUUCAGUCAUUUCUUGUGUUGACUGCUCAUUGCUGUUUUCAACGAGGUUAAUGUCGCAUCUUUUGACAUUCUUCUUCGUUGUUAUUUUACGCACUUUCCCUGAUCUGGUAGACAUGUUGGUUGAACACGAGGUCACCGACAGAAUCACUGCGCAUUUGAGUGUCGUGUUUUGAUCAGGCGGAGGAGUCAUUUAGAUGAUACCCAUUGAGGGACAACCUGAUAUUUUUUUUAAUUGACAUCUUAAUUUUUCAACAAAUUAAACAAAAAAUAUUGCCAGUCUUAUCUCUUGUAUAUUUUUUGUUGAUCUGUAACUUUGUCAGAGUUACCGGCGCGGGCAACCGAGCGGGCAGCUAUGCUAGGGGUCCGACGUGCGUGAUGUAGUUGUAGUUGUUUGCCGGUUACCAUGGUUACCAAGACGUUACUGACGCUGCGGCUGUCAAGCCGGGGUUUUUAUGGCGGGAUCGGGCAGGAUACAGCCAUUUCUGGGGCGCAACUGGCAUUACGUGCAAAAUGAGACCCUUAAGCAGAGAGUUUCGAAUGUUAAGUGAGGGCCCCAAUAGCCCAGAAAACAUUUGAAAUUAAUUAAGUGGCUUCAGAAAAAACACACUCUGAAACAUAAAAUGAAAUGCAGAGUUUGCAAAGGAAAAAUGAAGUUGGCAAAGAAGACUGGUGGGGACUACUAUGAAUGGUAAGUUUUUUUUCCUUUUUAAGUUUAUUUAAAAUUUUACUCCUAAAAUGACUUGAUUCAAUAGACUACUCUUUUGGCAAUAUUCAAAGCCUGUUGUUGCAAUUCACAUGAUAUGCCGAAAGGGUUAUAAUCACAAUGCGAAAGUGAAGAAGUCUGUGAGGCACAAAUCAAUUUUCAGCCAGUCAAAGUUAUCCCUUUUUGAUUGGUCACACUUCAUUUACAGGUAGGUUUAUGGCACCAUAAUAUCAUAAUAACAUUUAUGUGGUAGGCUAAAUAUGUGAAGUGUAUGUUUAUACAUUAUGUAGCCUACCUUGCUGGUUGGUUAUGGUCAGUUUUAAUGCCACAACAUAGUCAUUCAAAGACAUACAAUUUACAUGGUUUAUGUUUCAGGUUCUCACAAGGUCUACAUUUCCAUCAAGUGGACAUGAUGAUGGACGACAUCUCACGCAGUCAACAAUCCCUAACAAGGAUGGCAAAACAGUUACGUCAAGUUUGUCUUUGGGCAAUAAAGAAAAGAAAGAGACAAAAAGGACAACAAUUGAGGGGGAGACGAGAGUAUGUGGUGAUUGAUGAGAGCCAUUUCAGACACAAAAGAAAGGUAAGAAAAUAUGUGAAACAAUAUUGCUGAAAAUAUCUUGAAACUGACUGAGAAAAUGUUAGGCACCUUGGAAAUAACUGUCAUUAGCAACCAUCAUCAUUACCUCUGUGAAGGGCGUGGUUUUCAUACCCACUGGAGUGAUAGUCUAAAUGUUAUUUGUAUGCAAAUUGUGAAUGUUAAUGUUAAUGUAACAAUGCUAGAAAUCUUCUUCAAUAGUACAGACAUGGUAAACUGUACAAAAUAAAAAAAUACAUAAAUUUUUCAGCCCAAGUCGUUUUUCGUUGUGACACAUACCCCCAUUAAAGUGCUACAGAUGUUACAUAUUAAUAAUAAACGGUGUAACAAAUAGAACCAAUAGUUACUAAUACAUUACUUAACUAUUAGUUAUGCUCAACCAACUCUACUAUAAGGGUCCCAAAUUCCAACAGUAAUACAUUACAUAAUUAUUAGUUAUGCUCAGCCAACUCUACUAUAAGGGUCCCAAACACCAAUAGUUAUACAUUACUUAACUAUUAGUUAUGCACAACCAAACAUCCAACAUAACAUUAGAUAAUAGACUCUUUGCUUUUUGUUUUAAUAAUCACAUGUUGUUAUUACACAAUUAAGUAAUACUCAAAUAAUAGUGGGAAAAUUAUUAACUUGUGCCAAAUAGACACAUAGGUAAUAAUUAGCAACCGUUACUUAAGUCUUAGUUAGUAGCUACUUGACUGUUUAUUGUGGCCCUUUAUUUGGAAGUGUUACCACUUUUUUUUUUCUACAUCAGUCAUUGCCACCCUCAUUAGGCACACAAACAAACAGGCACAAAACUAAAAACAUCGGAAAGAAAUUCAAGUGGUUUCCUCUUACAUCCAGGGAGUUUUUCAUUUUUUUGGCUAUUGUUGUUUUUGAUGGACUGCUCAGAGUCCACGAGAGGCCUGACUUGUGGAGGACAUCUUUCCCCUUUGGUCUCCCAUUCCCUCGCUGCCAUGAGUUGAGCUCUGGAAUGGCUUAAUAACGAGCUGAUCAUUUGAAUCAGGUGUGUUGGAGCAGGGAAACAUCCAAAACAUGCAGGACAGUGGGGGCUCGAGGACUGGACUUGAGAACCACUGGUGUAGGGAAAGGUGCUUUCACAUCGGAUUUGGGUCUGAGUUAUGCUUUUGUUUUGAGACUGUUGGACUUUCCUUUGCUGGGGAAAGGAUACCAUCUCUAUAAUGACAACUUUUAAACCAGCCCUCUCCUGUACAAGGACCUGGCUGAGAAGAAAAUCGGGGCCUUUAGGACUAUUAGGCAGAUGAGAAUUGGCUAUCAAAAACUAAAGAAAACGACUUCCCAAAGAAUGCAAGAUGAGGUGAUGUGUGUUGGCUGAGGAACGAUGGUGUUCUUUUUGUUAAGUGGAAAGACCCAAGAGAGGUGACUGUGGGAACUUGGUGAUGCGAAAAUUGAAGGAGGCUGAUGGCUGGUCCAAGA